UACUAGAGUAGCACUCGCAUAUCAAUAAGCGGAGGAAAAGAAACUAACAAGGAUUCCCCUAGUAACGGCGAGUGAAGCGGGAAGAGCUCAAAUUUGAAAUCUUAAAGGGUUUCCCUUUACGAAUUGUAGUUUAAAGAAGUGUUUUCUGUUGAGGUUUUGGUAAAAGUUCUUUGGAAUAGGACAUCAUAGAGGGUGAGAAUCCCGUAUUUGACCUUUACUUUCAACUUUGUGAUACACUUUCAAAGAGUCGGAUUGUUUGGGAAUGCAGUCCAAGAUGGGUGGUAAAUUUCAUCUAAAGCUAAAUAUUGGCGAGAGACCGAUAGCGAACAAGUACCGUGAGGGAAAGAUGAAAAGAACUUUGAAAAGAGAGUUAAACAGUACGUGAAAUUGUCAAAAGGGAAGCGUUUGACACCAGUGUUGUUUUUCUGAAAAUCAAUUAAAGAACUGUUUAUGCUAAGCUGUUUAGACUUUAUCAGCUAUCUGUUUAGUUUUGAGCUUUUCUUUAAUGCACUUUUCAGUUAACAAGUCAACAUCAAUUUCUUUUGCUGUAAAAAAGCUUGAGGAAGGUGGCUUGAGAUUCGUCUUAAGUGUUUAUAGCCUCUUGCCUAUGCAGUCGGAGAGAUUGAGGUCUGCAGCGUAGAUCCUUCGGGGCUAAAUGCAUUUGUGCUAAGUUAUAGCAUUUUAUAGACAACUUGUUGACUAUGAUUUGUCUUGUAGCUUACUCGCUUAUGUUAUUUUACCUACGCUUAGGAUGUUGAGUAGCGACAUACGCAC
RNAcentral lists this ribosomal RNA (774 nucleotides) under uncultured Neocallimastigales. Its description in RNAcentral is "partial large subunit ribosomal RNA". It matches the Rfam family "Eukaryotic large subunit ribosomal RNA", at positions 20 to 649 of the family's 3401-position model. The record is from RNAcentral. Lineage: Eukaryota; Fungi; Neocallimastigomycota; Neocallimastigomycetes; Neocallimastigales.